Non-coding RNA from Podarcis lilfordi (Lilford's wall lizard), 70 nucleotides. Lineage: Eukaryota; Metazoa; Chordata; Lepidosauria; Squamata; Lacertidae. The record is from the annotation of a GenBank genome assembly.
GCUGUAGCUCAAUGGCAGAGCCACCUGCUUUGUACGCAAAAGGUCCCAGGUUCAAAUCUCAGCAUCUCCA